RNAcentral lists this ribosomal RNA (543 nucleotides) under uncultured Glomeromycotina. RNAcentral describes it as "SSU rRNA". It matches the Rfam family "Eukaryotic small subunit ribosomal RNA", at positions 569 to 1113 of the family's 1831-position model. Lineage: Eukaryota; Fungi; Glomeromycota. The record is from RNAcentral.
AGCAGCCGCGGUAAUUCCAGCUCCAAUAGCGUAUAUUAAAGUUGUUGCAGUUAAAAAGCUCGUAGUUGAAUUUCGGGAUCAAUUAGUUGGUCAUGCCGUUGGUAUGUACUGAUUUUAUUGAUUUCUCACCUUCUAAAGAACCUUAAUGUCAUUAAUUUGAUGUUUUGGGGAAUUAGGACUGUUACCUUGAAAAAAUUAGAGUGUUUAAAGCAGGCUCACGCUUGAAUACAUUAGCAUGGAAUAAUGAAAUAGGACAUCCGAUUCUAUUUUGUUGGUUUCUAGGAUCGAUGUAAUGAUUAAUAGGGAUAGUUGGGGGCAUUAGUAUUCAAUUGUCAGAGGUGAAAUUCUUGGAUUUAUUGAAGACUAACUUCUGCGAAAGCAUUUGCCAAGGAUGUUUUCAUUAAUCAAGAACGAAAGUUAGGGGAUCGAAGACGAUCAGAUACCGUCGUAGUCUUAACCAUAAACUAUGCCGACUAGGGAUCGGACGAUGUUAAAUUUUAUUGACUCGUUCGGCGCCUUACGGGAAACCAAAGUGUUUGGGUU